AUGAACGCUAGCGACAGGCCUAACACAUGCAAGUCGAGGGGCAGCACAAGGAGCAAUCUGAGGUGGCGACCGGCGCACGGGUGAGUAACACGUAUGCAACCUGCCUGUAAGCGGGGAAUAACCCGUUGAAAGACGGACUAAUACCGCAUAAUACUAAAUUACUGCAUGGUAAUUUAUUUAAACAUUUAUGGCUUACAGAUGGGCAUGCGCAUGAUUAGCUAGUUGGAGAGGUAACGGCUCCCCAAGGCAACGAUCAUUAGGGGUUCUGAGAGGAAGGUCCCCCACACUGGUACUGAGACACGGACCAGACUCCUACGGGAGGCAGCAGUGAGGAAUAUUGGUCAAUGGACGAGAGUCUGAACCAGCCAAGUCGCGUGCAGGAAGAAUUGUCCUAUGGAUUGUAAACUGCUUUUGCAGGGGAAUAAAGUGCAUCACGUGUGAUGUUUUGUAUGUACUCUGCGAAUAAGGAUCGGCUAACUCCGUGCCAGCCGCCGC
RNAcentral lists this ribosomal RNA (495 nucleotides) under uncultured bacterium. Its description in RNAcentral is "bacterial SSU rRNA". It matches the Rfam family "Bacterial small subunit ribosomal RNA", at positions 29 to 518 of the family's 1533-position model. The record is from RNAcentral.